GGCGAGGUUCUGUCUUUUGGUCAGGACAACCGUCUAGCUAUAAGUGCUGCAGGGGUGUGAGAAACUCCUAUUGCUGGACGAUGUCUCUUUCGAGGCAUUAGCACCGGGGAGAAGUCAUUUAAU
RNAcentral lists this unclassified non-coding RNA (123 nucleotides) under RNA transcription vector pBRDI1. RNAcentral describes it as "RNA (123-MER) from RNA transcription vector pBRDI1 (PDB 5WTI, chain B)". The record is from RNAcentral.